RNAcentral lists this ribosomal RNA (480 nucleotides) under uncultured bacterium. Its description in RNAcentral is "bacterial SSU rRNA". It matches the Rfam family "Bacterial small subunit ribosomal RNA", at positions 501 to 984 of the family's 1533-position model. The record is from RNAcentral.
CUACGUGCCAGCAGCCGCGGUAAUACGGAAGGUCCAGGCGUUAUCCGGAUUUAUUGGGUUUAAAGGGAGCGUAGGCGGAUUGUUAAGUCAGCGGUUAAAGGGUGUGGCUCAACCAUGCAUUGCCGUUGAAACUGGCGAUCUUGAGUGUAGACAGGGAUGCCGGAAUUCGUGGUGUAGCGGUGAAAUGCUUAGAUAUCACGAAGAACUCCGAUCGCGAAGGCAGGUGUCCGGGCUGCAACUGACGCUGAGGCUCGAAAGUGUGGGUAUCAAACAGGAUUAGAUACCCUGGUAGUCCACACAGUAAACGAUGUAUACUCGCGGUUUGCGAUAGACAGUAAGCCGCCAAGCGAAAGCAUUAAGUAUACCACCUGGGGAGUACGCCGGCAACGGUGAAACUCAAAGGAAUUGACGGGGGCCCGCACAAGCGGAGGAACAUGUGGUUUAAUUCGAUGAUACGCGAGGAACCUUACCCGGGCUUGA